UGUCGUGCCAGUGCCAGCUGUAACACGCAUACACUUCUUAUUUCCCUUGAUUGAAUGCAUAUUAGGAAGUCCAAGUGAUCAUUACUAAUCUAUUACAAAAGUGUGCUCUUUCAAGUAAACAUUGUAGUAAAAUGCCAUUAUAACAUAUAUCUGAGUGAUCCAAUGCCUGUAUUAUAGAAGCGAAGGGUAGGGUUUGACCCAUAUCCUCCAACCGCUUCGAUAA
RNAcentral lists this unclassified non-coding RNA (223 nucleotides) under Hevea brasiliensis (rubber tree). Lineage: Eukaryota; Viridiplantae; Streptophyta; Magnoliopsida; Malpighiales; Euphorbiaceae. The record is from RNAcentral.